This 526-nucleotide long non-coding RNA is filed under the name Homo sapiens (human). RNAcentral describes it as "HSALNT0372913". Lineage: Eukaryota; Metazoa; Chordata; Mammalia; Primates; Hominidae. The record is from RNAcentral.
UCACUGCCCCACUCAUGCCGCAGGAUAUAAAGCAGAGUGACAGGGUCACAGGACUGCCAGAGGAAUACAGGCUGCAGUGCAGUGGUGCCAUCUGGGCUCACUGCAACCUCUGCCUCCCAGGUUCAAGUGAUCCUCAUGCCUCAGCCUCCUGAGUAACUGGGAUUACAGCUUCUAGAGGCUACCCACAUUCCUGGGCUAAUGGCCCCUUCCUACAUCUUCAAAGCCAGCAGUGGUGGGCUGAGUCUUUCUCCUGGUAUCAUCUCUUCAUUCUCUAUCUCCCUCUCCCAAUUUUAAGGACCUCUGUGAUUAUAUUGGGCACCUGGAUAUUGCAGGAUACGCUCUCUAUUUUAAGGCUAUGCUCCGUAAAGAGAGUGCCUCCUCUAGAAUCACAAGACCUAAGCAUGAAUCUUCCUUUGAAGGAUAAAAUGGAAGGAAAAAAACUGGAUGAGGAAAAGAAGAGUGGGGAAUAGAAAGAGAGAGAGAGAGAAAGAUGGAUAAAUUUUUAAAGUUACUAUAAUAAAAAUCU